Molecule: long non-coding RNA, 97 nt
Organism: Ipomoea nil (Japanese morning glory)
Lineage: Eukaryota; Viridiplantae; Streptophyta; Magnoliopsida; Solanales; Convolvulaceae
Exons: 3
Source: RefSeq, a predicted model, not a curated record
CAUGUCUACUUAUAUGUGGAAUUAGAAUAAAUGUGAAAAUGAUCAAACACUAUUGGUAAAUGAUAAAUCGGUUCGGUUCUAUUCCAAUUCGAUUUUG